Molecule: small RNA, 553 nt
Filed under: human gut metagenome
Source: RNAcentral
UGCAGUAUUCUAGUCAGGCAUUUCUAUUUUGAGGACGACAAAGCGUCGAAGGGCAUAUCUGUGAAGUUCCUUGUGCUGGCUUUGGUUGCCCAAACUGGGGCUGGUGCUGGGAGUUAAGAUUUUUGGGCUAUUGUUAAUGGCAUAACAUGUUUGUCCCAGAAAUCGUGGAGACUCAAUAUUGGUGACAUUGUCACUGUUUGAGAAGAACCUGCAAUGCGGUCACUGGCUGUGUGCAGUGUAGCCUGCCUUGAGUGGGGCAUUGGGAUUGAACGUCAACAUUUUUUGCUGGUUGGCCAACAACAAAAGGUGUUGUUCAUGAAAUUUGUUCCUGCAAAAAAGGAUAAGAAAUAGAAACGCGUGUCAAGGAAAGCUUCUAGACUGUUGCGCAAAGCGCUUGUCCGCAGGGGAUUAUAGUGUGAUUUAAGUGGCGAUUCGGUGCAAGGGCUCAAUUAAAUGGAAACUGCUAACUCGGCGACGAGAAGUUUGGGCUUUGGGAAAUCCAACCGAACCUAUAUCGCAAGGUUUAUCUUGUGGGCUGUCUCCACAAAUAAAA